AUUGAACGCUGGCGGCAUGCCUUACACAUGCAAGUCGAACGGUAACAGGUCUUCGGAUGCUGACGAGUGGCGAACGGGUGAGUAAUACAUCGGAACGUGCCUAGUAGUGGGGGAUAACUACUCGAAAGAGUGGCUAAUACCGCAUGAGAUCUACGGAUGAAAGCAGGGGAUCGCAAGACCUGGCGCUACUAGAGCGGCCGGUGGCAGUUUAGGUAGUUGGUGGGAUAAAAGCUUACCAAGCCGACGAUCUGUAGCUGGUCUGAGAGGACGAUCAGCCACACUGGGACUGAGACACGGCCCAGACUCCUACGGGAGGCAGCAGUGGGGAAUUUUGGACAAUGGGCGAAAGCCUGAUCCAGCAAUGCCGCGUGCAGGAUGAAGGCCUUCGGGUUGUAAACUGCUUUUGUACGGAACGAAAAGCCCCGGGUUAAUACCCUGGGGUCAUGACGGUACCGUAAGAAUAAGCACCGGCUGACUACGUGCCAGCAGCCGCGGUAA
This 498-nucleotide ribosomal RNA is filed under the name uncultured bacterium. RNAcentral's name for it is "partial 16S ribosomal RNA". It matches the Rfam family "Bacterial small subunit ribosomal RNA", at positions 30 to 523 of the family's 1533-position model. The record is from RNAcentral.